CGAAGAAUUCGGAAGCGUGCUCCGCCGCGUCGCGCGUGCCGGAUGGACAUUAUACUUUUUCCGUCGGCUUACGAUUAGUUCGCCGUGGGAAAUCCUUCUUUCCGAUUCACGCGACAGCGAUCGGAAGGAAAACGAAACGAGAUGGACGGAACCUUGCUCGAAACGUAUCGGCGUGCGCUGGAAAAAUUCGAGGCGUUUUUCCAACGGGUCCGAAUCGUCCUUGACGAGGUCAUUUUGCGGAGAGAGCCGACGGUCCGCUAGUUGCAGUCCGGCGAUUUUGUAUCGCGUUGCGUUUUCCGCACACGGGAAUCUAAACGCCGUGGAGACAUCGGUCGCCGAUAUAUAUACGCACACACGUGGAUGUGUGAAUAUUCUGGGCCUGUAUUGCCUACGACAUGUACUGUAUACAAUGUACAUAGAAACGUUUGGCCAUAUUACCCUCGGGCUCGAAUCGUUUGUAUCCCCUUUCGCCGUAACACACCUAUCGCUGCACACGGUGUGUUGGAAGUUGUUCGUGUGGCGUAGUGCGACGGUGUUCGUGUUUCACAUUUCUGAUUCACUAGCUCCGUUAACCUUCGCCAGUCGCGUUCCUCGUCACUCUCCCCGCCUGACGGAGUGUCGAAAUAGUGGUGGUAGUGGAACGCCUAGUGGUGGUGGUGGUAGUAGCGGCGAGUACAAGACGUCUUCAUAUUCACCCGUUGUUACAACACGUGUUUGUUCGUGGGUAACCUUAUUCGAGACAACGAAUUUAUUUUACAUUCAUCUUUUU
This 769-nucleotide unclassified non-coding RNA is filed under the name Athalia rosae (coleseed sawfly). RNAcentral's name for it is "misc RNA ENSAEAG00005006110.1". Lineage: Eukaryota; Metazoa; Arthropoda; Insecta; Hymenoptera; Athaliidae. The record is from RNAcentral.